GUAACCUGCCCUUAACUUCGGGAUAAGCCUGGGAAACCGGGUCUAAUACCGGAUACGACCUCCUGGCGCAUGCCAUGGUGGUGGAAAGCUUUAGCGGUUUUGGAUGGACUCGCGGCCUAUCAGCUUGUUGGUGGGGGUAAGGGCCCACCAAGGCGACGACGGGUAGCCGGCCUGAGAGGGUGACCGGCCACACUGGGACUGAGACACGGCCCAGACUCCUACGGGAGGCAGCAGUGGGGAAUAUUGCACAAUGGGCGAAAGCCUGAGGGGGGCGACGCCGCGUGAGGGAUGACGGCCUUCGGGUUGUAAACCUCUUUCAGCAGGGAAGAAGCGAAAGUGACGGUACCUGCAGAAGAAGCGCCGGCUAACUACGUGCCAGCAGCCGCGGUAAUACGUAGGGCGCAAGCGUUAUCCGGAAUUAUUGGGCGUAAAGAGCUCGUAGGCGGUUUGUCGCGUCUGCUGUGAAAGCCCGGGGCUCAACCCCGGGUCU
RNAcentral lists this ribosomal RNA (490 nucleotides) under Arthrobacter koreensis. Its description in RNAcentral is "bacterial SSU rRNA". It matches the Rfam family "Bacterial small subunit ribosomal RNA", at positions 121 to 622 of the family's 1533-position model. Lineage: Bacteria; Bacillati; Actinomycetota; Actinomycetes; Micrococcales; Micrococcaceae. The record is from RNAcentral.